Molecule: long non-coding RNA, 469 nt
Organism: Lates calcarifer (barramundi perch)
Lineage: Eukaryota; Metazoa; Chordata; Actinopteri; Centropomidae
Exons: 3
Source: RefSeq, a predicted model, not a curated record
AGCUCGACCAAAUGUGUCCAUUUCCUGAGCCAUUCCUGAGAGCAAUUAGCAGCGCUGAGGAAUUCAGCCCCUCACCGAACGCCAGCAGCACGACUGGAGGCCCUAUUAUCCCCAUCCCCUAUAGAGACGGUGAAGGAGAGCUGCCCAGAUGAUGAAUGGAGAGGGAGUACAGUUUGUGGUUUUGCAGCUUUUCCAAACUCAUGCAGAGUUCUUGGUGUGUGGGCGUCAGAAGUCAAGGCCGAGGAGGUGAGAAGCAUCAUGCUGCUGGACACACAGAGUCUGACAGAACAAGCGGAGUGGACAGUGAGUGAGUCAGAAGACAUCAGAGCUGUUGACAGGCCCAUCCAUCAUCACUCUAAAAUAGCAAGGUACCAAGACAUCACGCACAACUGAUUAAAAACAGGGGCAUUUUAGUGAAGGGAAUAGUGGAACAAAGUACCCUUUGCCGCAACAUGGGAAAGGCCCUCAA